RNAcentral lists this ribosomal RNA (483 nucleotides) under uncultured bacterium. Its description in RNAcentral is "partial 16S ribosomal RNA". It matches the Rfam family "Bacterial small subunit ribosomal RNA", at positions 29 to 523 of the family's 1533-position model. The record is from RNAcentral.
AGUGAACGCUGGCGGCGUGCUUAUCACAUGCAAGUCGAACGAGAACGGAUUAUAGCUUGCUAUAAUUGUCAGCUGAGUGGCGCACGGGUGAGUAAUGUAUAGGUAAUAUGCCUCUUACUAAGGGAUAACAAUUGGAAACGAUUGCUAAUACCUUAUAUUCCUUUUUAUCAAAAGAUAAAAAGGGAAAGAUUUAUUGGUAAGAGAUUAGCCUGUAUUGUAUCAGUUAGUUGGUGGGGUAUGGCCUACCAAGACAAUGACGCAUAACUGGUUUGAGAGGAUGAUCAGUCACACUGGAACUGAGACACGGUCCAGACUCCUACGGGAGGCAGCAGUGGGGAAUAUUGCACAAUGGACGAAAGUCUGAUGCAGCAACGCCGCGUGGAGGAUGACACAUUUCGGUGCGUAAACUCCUUUUAUAUAAGAAGAUGAUGACGGUAUUAUAUGAAUAAGCACCGGCUAACUCCGUGCCAGCAGCCGCCGUAA